Molecule: transfer RNA, 74 nt
Filed under: Myotis brandtii (Brandt's bat)
Lineage: Eukaryota; Metazoa; Chordata; Mammalia; Chiroptera; Vespertilionidae
Source: Rfam by way of RNAcentral
GGCCUAAUAGCUCAAAUGGUUAGAGCAUCAUCCUGAUAUGACCAAGGUUUCAGGUUCAAUCUCUGGUCAGGGCA